Molecule: ribosomal RNA, 465 nt
Filed under: uncultured bacterium
Lineage: Bacteria
Description: partial 16S ribosomal RNA
Rfam family: Bacterial small subunit ribosomal RNA
Source: RNAcentral
CCUACGGGUGGCAGCAGUGGGGAAUUUUGGACAAUGGGCGCAAGCCUGAUCCAGCUAUUCCGCGUGUGGGAAGACGGCCCUCGGGUUGUAAACCACUUUUGUAGAGAACGAAAAGACUACUGCGAAUAACGGUUGUUGCUGACGGUACUCUAAGAAUAAGCACCGGCUAACUACGUGCCAGCAGCCGCGGUAAUACGUAGGGUGCGAGCGUUAAUCGGAAUUACUGGGCGUAAAGGGUGAGCAGGCGGUUUUGGAAGAUAGAUGUGAAAUCCCCGGGCUUAACACGGGAAUGGCAUAUGGGACUGCUCGACUAGGUGGUGUCAGAGGGGGGUGGAAUUCCACGUGUAGCAGUGAAAUGCGUAGAUAUGUGGAAGAACACCGAUGGCGAAGGCAGCCUCCUGGGACAUAACUGACGCUCAGGCACGAAAGCGUGGGGAGCAAACAGGAUUAGAUACCCCUGUAGUC